AUGCCGGCCCCAGAGCUCGACGCUCGGGCUCAGCGCCUGAGCAUCCUGCGUCUGGUCUUGCAGGUAAUCCAGGCCGAGCGCGUGGAGGCUGGCGCUCACCGUGUCCCCGCGAGCGUCGGCGUACGCCGCCACGCAGUAGCUGAGCCGCCCAUUAGCGGCGAGGCGGUCAAGGGUGAGGCCCAGCUUCUGCACGGCGGCGGCGGGGAUCCUCGGCGGCGUGAUGGAGGCGGGUGCGGGCUUGGCCUUGUCGGGGUCCUCCUGCAUCGCGAGCGGAGCAGAGUGCUCGGCGAGGAGGCGGCAGAACUCGGCCUCGAGCACGUCGAGGGCGGCGGUGAGGAGGCCGGCGUCGAGGUCGGCUGCGGGGACGCCCUUGAGUUUCGAGAGCGCCCCGGCGAGGCCGGCCACGAAGCGAGGGUCGGCGAGGCUGCGCUUGCCGAGGUAGUCGACGAUGUCGGAGAGCCAGUCGACGGCGAGGCCGCAGUUGUCGGCGAGGAAGCGGAGCGCCUCCUCGAGGCGGGCGACGAGGGCGAGGUAGCCCGGGAGGUCCUCCCGGGCGGCGGCCCCGGCGAGGAGCGGCGGCUCGAGGCCGUGCACGGCGUCGAACACCUUGAGGACGGCCGCGGCGGGCCCCACGGCGCGGUCGAUGUUGGGGCCGGCCCCCUCGAGCGCGUCCCGCGGCGCGCGGAUCGGGCGCACCCCGGCCUCCGUGGCCGCCAGCCGCGCCUGGAUCUCCCCGACCCGGGCCCCCGUCCGCGCCAGCGCGUGGCUCAGCGCCCGCGACCGCUCCACCCCGGCCCGCAGCGCGCUCCGCGCCGCCUGCAGGCUCGCCAUCCGCCGCGCCUCCUCCGCCCCCUGAUCCAUCCCCAUCCCCCGGUGGUAGCGCACGGCCUCGCCCUCCGAAUGCGCGUCGGACGGACCGCUCGACGCCCACGGCCGCGGGCGGGCUUGUCCCUCGCUCUGGCUCGCAGGAAUUGGUGUAGGAAUCAAUCUGCCGGCCGGUGGGAGCUCGAGGUCCGGCGUCCCUUGCAAGCGAGUGCGUACUACUUAUCCGGCGCGGGGAGGGAGGGAGGGGGAAAAGGCGAUGGCGACGGCGACGGGCGCCCGUCCGGAGAGGUGGGUGCUGUGGUGUGGCGUGCGGGGCAGAGGCGGGGGGAGGUGGAGCGGGGCUGA
Molecule: ribosomal RNA, 1170 nt
Filed under: Triticum aestivum (bread wheat)
Lineage: Eukaryota; Viridiplantae; Streptophyta; Magnoliopsida; Poales; Poaceae
Description: partial small subunit ribosomal RNA
Source: RNAcentral